UACGUAGGGUGCGAGCGUUAAUCGGAAUUACUGGGCGUAAAGCGUGCGCAGGCGGUUACAUAAGGCAGAUGUGAAAUCCCCGGGCUCAACCUGGGAACUGCGUUUGUGACUGUGUGACUAGAGUACGGCAGAGGGGGGUGGAAUUCCUGGUGUAGCAGUGAAAUGCGUAGAUAUCAGGAGGAACAUCGAUGGCGAAGGCAGCCCCCUGGGCCUGUACUGACGCUCAUGCACGAAAGCGUGGGGAGCAAACAGG
This 253-nucleotide ribosomal RNA is filed under the name uncultured bacterium. RNAcentral describes it as "partial 16S ribosomal RNA". It matches the Rfam family "Bacterial small subunit ribosomal RNA", at positions 524 to 776 of the family's 1533-position model. The record is from RNAcentral.